GAGAGUUUGAUUCUGGCUCAGAUUGAACGCUGGCGGCAGGCCUAACACAUGCAAGUCGAGCGGCAGCGGGAGGAAGCUUGCUUCCUCGCCGGCGAGCGGCGGACGGGUGAGUAAUGUCUGGGGAUCUGCCCGAUGGAGGGGGAUAACCACUGGAAACGGUGGCUAAUACCGCAUAACGUCGCAAGACCAAAGUGGGGGACCUUCGGGCCUCACACCAUCGGAUGAACCCAGAUGGGAUUAGCUAGUAGGUGGGGUAAUGGCUCACCUAGGCGACGAUCCCUAGCUGGUCUGAGAGGAUGACCAGCCACACUGGAACUGAGACACGGUCCAGACUCCUACGGGAGGCAGCAGUGGGGAAUAUUGCACAAUGGGCGCAAGCCUGAUGCAGCCAUGCCGCGUGUGUGAAGAAGGCCUUCGGGUUGUAAAGCACUUUCAGCGAGGAGGAAGGUGGUGAGCUUAAUACGUUCAUCAAUUGACGUUACUCGCAGAAGAAGCACCGGCUAACUCCGUGCCAGCAGCCGCGGUAAUACGGAGGGUGCAAGCGUUAAUCGGAAUUACUGGGCGUAAAGCGCACGCAGGCGGUUUGUUAAGUCAGAUGUGAAAUCCCCGAGCUUAACUUGGGAACUGCAUUUGAAACUGGCAAGCUAGAGUCUCGUAGAGGGGGGUAGAAUUCCAGGUGUAGCGGUGAAAUGCGUAGAGAUCUGGAGGAAUACCGGUGGCGAAGGCGGCCCCCUGGACGAAGACUGACGCUCAGGUGCGAAAGCGUGGGGAGCAAACAGGAUUAGAUACCCUGGUAGUCCACGCCGUAAACGAUGUCGAUUUGGAGGUUGUGCCCUUGAGGCGUGGCUUCCGGAGCUAACGCGUUAAAUCGACCGCCUGGGGAGUACGGCCGCAAGGUUAAAACUCAAAUGAAUUGACGGGGGCCCGCACAAGCGGUGGAGCAUGUGGUUUAAUUCGAUGCAACGCGAAGAACCUUACCUACUCUUGACAUCCAGAGAACUUUCCAGAGAUGGAUUGGUGCCUUCGGGAACUCUGAGACAGGUGCUGCAUGGCUGUCGUCAGCUCGUGUUGUGAAAUGGUGGGUUAAGUCCCGCAACGAGCGCAACCCUUAUCCUUUGUUGCCAGCGGUUCGGCCGGGAACUCAAAGGAGACUGCCAGUGAUAAACUGGAGGAAGGUGGGGAUGACGUCAAGUCAUCAUGGCCCUUACGAGUAGGGCUACACACGUGCUACAAUGGCGUAUACAAAGAGAAGCGAACCUGCGAAGGCAAGCGGACCUCAUAAAGUACGUCGUAGUCCGGAUUGGAGUCUGCAACUCGACUCCAUGAAGUCGGAAUCGCUAGUAAUCGUAGAUCAGAAUGCUACGGUGAAUACGUUCCCGGGCCUUGUACACACCGCCCGUCACACCAUGGGAGUGGGUUGCAAAAGAAGUAGGUAGCUUAACCUUCGGGAGGGCGCUUACCACUUUGUGAUUCAUGACUGGGGUGAAGUCGUAACAAGGUAACCGUAGGGGAACCUGCGGUUGGAUCACCU
This 1531-nucleotide ribosomal RNA is filed under the name uncultured bacterium. Its description in RNAcentral is "bacterial SSU rRNA". It matches the Rfam family "Bacterial small subunit ribosomal RNA". The record is from RNAcentral.